RNAcentral lists this ribosomal RNA (117 nucleotides) under Anolis carolinensis (green anole). Lineage: Eukaryota; Metazoa; Chordata; Lepidosauria; Squamata; Anolidae. The record is from RNAcentral.
GUCUGUGCCUAAAUAUCCUGAAGUCACCAGAUCCUGUCAGCUCUUAGAAACUAAGCAGGGUCAGCUUUGUUAUUACUUAGGUGGGAGGCCACCAAAGAGUACCAGGUGUUGUGGGCU